Molecule: long non-coding RNA, 676 nt
Filed under: Heterocephalus glaber (naked mole-rat)
Lineage: Eukaryota; Metazoa; Chordata; Mammalia; Rodentia; Bathyergidae
Description: lncRNA (ENSHGLG00100050140.1)
Source: RNAcentral
CCCAAAAGUCACCACCACAGUUCAUCAUUCUCUUGGCACAACAUCCAAGAAUAAGAAACAGCUUGGAUACCUAGGGCAUUUUACCUGUGUAGGUGAUGAAUUUUAAUACCAUUUCCAGCAAUUUAUGGAUAUGAAAGGAAAGGAGGUGAUUUUAUUCUGUAAGCAUUUAUCACUCACUGGCAUACCAAUUUGUUGUUUUAUGUUUAAUGUAAGUAGUUCCUUUAUGGUAUCAUUGAUCUGCUUGUCUGCGUUUACCAUACUGGGGGUUAGCUUGGGAGCCCUGAACAGGUGAGGCAGGUGCUGUACCACUGAGCCACACCCCUAAUCCUCACUAGCACUGUGACUCUACACCUCAGAAUGGCCAUUGCUGGGAAACUUAAGCACAAAAUAUACAGACAGGGUCUUGCCAUGAUCACUUGAAUAAUCCUCCUGCCUCAGCCUCCCAAGUACUGGGAUUUCAGGCUUGUGCCAGCAUGCCCCAGCAGCAUAACUCAGGAGGCAACAGUAGAAGCCAAACCUGAAUGGGAAAAAACAGAUUAAAAUCAAUGAUGACAGAGGGAAAAAAUGUACAAAUACUUGGAUGGGGGAGGAUUCAUCUUCAUCUAGAGGCGACCGGAAGUGCUCUGGUAGAUCUCGAGAUUCUGGCCACAGUCGGCGGAGGCCAGGAAGAGGACAG